AACCAUAGAAACCUGCGGAGUACCUGCGGAGGGAUCAUUACCGAGUGAGGGCCCUCCGGGUCCAACCUCCCACCCGUGUUUAACGAACCUUGUUGCUUCGGCGGGCCCGCCUCACGGCCGCCGGGGGGCACCCCGCCCCCGGGCCCGCGCCCGCCGAAGACACCUGUGAACGCUGUCUGAAGUUGCAGUCUGAGACACUAGCUCAAUCAGUUAAAACUUUUAGCAAUGGAUCUCAGAUCG
Molecule: unclassified non-coding RNA, 240 nt
Filed under: soil metagenome
Description: partial contains 5.8S ribosomal RNA, internal transcribed spacer 2, and large subunit ribosomal RNA
Source: RNAcentral